Molecule: unclassified non-coding RNA, 332 nt
Filed under: soil metagenome
Description: partial contains 5.8S ribosomal RNA, internal transcribed spacer 2, and large subunit ribosomal RNA
Rfam family: 5.8S ribosomal RNA (bases 1-120)
Source: RNAcentral
GAUGAAGAACGUAGCGAAAUGCGAUAAGUAGUGUGAAUUGCAGAAUUCAGUGAAUCAUCGAAUCUUUGAACGCACAUUGCGCCCUUUAGUAUUCCUUAGGGCAUGCCUGUUCGAGCGUCAUUUAAACCUUCAAGCUAAGCUUGGUGUUGGGUGACUGUCCGCUUCACGGCGGACUCGCCUCAAAAUUAUUGGCGGCCGGUACAUUGGCUUCGAGCGCAGCAGAAACGCGAACUCGGGCCCGUCGUAUUGGCUCCCAGAAGCUAUCUUCACAAUUUUGACCUCGGAUCAGGUAGGGAUACCCGCUGAACUUAAGCAUAUCAAUAAGCGGAGGA